RNAcentral lists this ribosomal RNA (605 nucleotides) under uncultured Ascomycota. Its description in RNAcentral is "LSU rRNA". It matches the Rfam family "Eukaryotic large subunit ribosomal RNA", at positions 627 to 1236 of the family's 3401-position model. The record is from RNAcentral. Lineage: Eukaryota; Fungi; Ascomycota.
UGGCGUAAUGGUUGUAAGCGGCCCGUCUUGAAACACGGACCAAGGAGUCUUACAUCUGUGCGAGUGUUUGGGUGUCAAACCCGUACGCGUAAUGAAAGUGAACGGAGGCGGGAACCCCUCGGGGUGCACCGUCGACCGAUCCUGAUGUCUUUGGAUGGAUUUGAGUAAGAGCAUAGCUGUUGGGACCCGAAAGAUGGUGAACUAUGCCUGAAUAGGGUGAAGCCAGAGGAAACUCUGGUGGAGGCUCGCAGCGGUUCUGACGUGCAAAUCGAUCGUCAAAUUUGGGCAUAGGGGCGAAAGACUAAUCGAACUAUCUAGUAGCUGGUUCCUGCCGAAGUUUCCCUCAGGAUAGCAGUAACGUUUUCAGUUUUAUGAGGUAAAGCGAAUGAUUAGAGGCCUGGGGGUUGAAACAACCUUCACCUAUUCUCAAACUUUAAAUAUGUAAGAAGUCCUUGUUGCUUAGUUGAACGUGGACAUUUGAAUGUAUCGUUACUAGUGGGCCAUUCUUGGUAAGCAGAACUGGCGAUGCGGGAUGAACCGAACGCGGAGUUAAGGUGCCGGAAUGCACGCUCAUCAGACACCACAAAAGGUGUUGGUUCAUCUAG